AAAUCCAAUGUGAAGCAAUUGACAAAAUUCAACAAGAUCAUUGAUGCUUCCUGUCAUACGGUGAACUGGACUUUUUGUUUUUUUUUUAUCGCAAUGUCGCGGUUAGCAAGAGUCGCCACCGACUUUUCUUUUAUCCCAUAAGGAAAGGUGGAAAAGAACAGGAAAGACCUUAAUUUAGAUUCUUAGGUUCGGGAGGUACUUUAUAC
Molecule: long non-coding RNA, 206 nt
Filed under: Lathyrus oleraceus (garden pea)
Lineage: Eukaryota; Viridiplantae; Streptophyta; Magnoliopsida; Fabales; Fabaceae
Description: Pisum sativum (pea) long non-coding RNA (PSAT_LNC027269)
Source: RNAcentral